UGACCAUUUUAAAAGAAUAUAUCAUAAAUUCAAAGGUAAGUCUAUCGUACUGCAUUGUCUUAAAUGAAUUCUCAGCUGAAAUACGGCAAUAAAUGGAUCAUAAACGUAGCUAAAUUUACUGUUGACAACGAGAUCCAUUGCUUUUUUGCCUUGAAUAGCUUUACCAUAGUCAUUUUACCUUAAAAUGUAGCUACUGAGGAUAUCUCUAAGAGAUUUACACAGAUUAUUUGCACAAUCUCACGAUUUAAUCAUGCUGAUAACAUGAAAAUCCUUGUGCCAUUCUAUACUUGGCAUAAUCUCUACAUCAAUAGCUCACCAGUUCACUAAUAUAAAUUCAAUAUAUUUUUGAACCAGUCCAUAUAUUAUUAUACACAAUGUAGUAUAGUUAAUUUGACCAUAUUUGAGAAGUAAGGGUGUAUUUCAUUACACAGACACUGCUGAAUUUUAGGUUACAUGCCAUUGGAUUGAUAUAUGAAAAACACUUGUAAAACACACACAUUAUUUUUAUCUUGUUGAUAGAAUAGUUAUUUGCAGUAUACUAACUGUUGGCAUACUCUAUUUCAGGACUAUCAAUUGUUUUUGUCACUGACAGUCUUUGAAAUACAAUCUUGCUCUGUGGCCUUUACUGACAAGUUGGCUUUUACUACAUAUGUGGCACUGACACUUCUUUAAUUAAUGCACCAGUCAACGUAAACCCCCCAACUGGGGAAGGGCAGGGAUUUUGACUUGGAGGGGUAGUAAAAGAGCGAAAUUGGCCCCGCCCCCAGGGACAUCAAUGUCCCCUGCAUGUCUCUCAACCCCAGGAAAAUAGUUUUGUAUAAUCAUAGAUCAGCAAUAGAAAAUCAAAUUCAUUUAUGUUAUUGUAUUUAAACUUUUCUUGUCAAGAAAACUAAAACAGCAACACAGGAUAUAUAUGUUAACCACUGUCCAAGUCUCCCAUCAUCGGGGACAAAUUUAUAAUCAAAACUGACCACUUUCCCC
This is a non-coding RNA of Paramuricea clavata, 981 nucleotides long. Lineage: Eukaryota; Metazoa; Cnidaria; Anthozoa; Malacalcyonacea; Plexauridae. The record is from the annotation of a GenBank genome assembly.